UAUGUCCUACGGGGGGCAGCAGUGGGGAAUAUUGCACAAUGGGGGGAACCCUGAUGCAGCAAUGCCGCGUGAAGGAUGAAGGUUUUCGGAUUGUAAACUUCUUUUGUACGGGAAGAAGAAAGUGACGGUACCGUAAGAAUAAGCCACGGCUAACUACGUGCCAGCAGCCGCGGUAAUACGUAGGUGGCAAGCGUUAUACGGAUUUACUGGGUGUAAAGGGCGAGUAGGCGGGAUUGCAAGUCAGAUGUUAAAACUAUGGGCUCAACCGAUAGAGUGCACUUUAAACUGCAGGUAUUG
RNAcentral lists this ribosomal RNA (297 nucleotides) under uncultured bacterium. RNAcentral describes it as "partial 16S ribosomal RNA". It matches the Rfam family "Bacterial small subunit ribosomal RNA", at positions 333 to 644 of the family's 1533-position model. The record is from RNAcentral.